Molecule: long non-coding RNA, 1678 nt
Filed under: Salmo salar (Atlantic salmon)
Lineage: Eukaryota; Metazoa; Chordata; Actinopteri; Salmoniformes; Salmonidae
Description: lncRNA (ENSSSAG00000115206.1, ENSSSAG00020063408.1, ENSSSAG00075027435.1)
Source: RNAcentral
GGUUGUAUUUUAGCCUUGGCGCCAGUCUGUUUUUGCUCUCUUGCCAACUCCUUAUGGAAUUGUCUACAAUGCCAAAAAGCAUAAACAAAUCUGAGACCAAGCUAGUUUUGUUCAUGUAGUUUAAGAGAAAUGUAAUCUAAAUGGAUGUGUUUGGUGGGGGUUGCAAAGUGCUUUUAGCAUUGAUUUGUAGCUGUGUAGAAUAGUAAACAUAGUUGCACAAAUGUUGUAGAUUAAAAUCUCAAAGGAAGCAGAUGAAUUCCAGACGUUUUAAUGGCCACUAUUUUAGAAUUCUACUAAUGUGCAGGGCCAUUCCAAUAGAAUUCAGAAUGAUUUCCAAAUGAUUGUUUCCAUAGAGACAUUACAAACCAAGAGUGUAUAAAAAUAUUGUUUUAAUUCAAAUAAGCAAAGUGUUGAUUCACUGAAAGACAUGGAGGUGGUUCAGCCCUAUGCAGAGACAUAUCUUAUGAAGCUGACAUUCUAUGCAGAAGACGAUCCUGCCUUCAAUUUAGAUUUCAUGAAGGAAACAUACUCCUACUCAACAUACACAGCGACAGUGCGACUGACCAAUACAGCGGAGAAGCCUCUGACACAGCAGAACCUGCAGUGUGUGGCCCUCAGCCUACCAGACCUCCACUACCGUCUCACAGGCCAUCCUUAUGCCUCGGGUCUCCUCCACCUUGCCCACCUCCAGACAGACCCUCUACCCCUGGACUAUAGCCCUCCAGCUAGACCAACCCUGGAUCCCAGAAAGCAGACAUGGGACAGUGUCUCUCUGGAACAUUCCACUAUUCCCCUGACCGAGACCUCUCUUCCGGAGGGCCAGUUCCAUGGCUCUCAAGGGGAUAGCGAGAGCAGCAGUAUCACUGACUGGUUCCUCUGUGACGGGUCAUUUGUGCCAGACUUCCCAGGGAAGGAGUGGACCUCUGUGAACUACGGAGGCCUAGAGUUUAUAAGGGCUUUCUCCCCAAUCAGACAGACUGACAAUGCAGCUGAUAUACUGGGAAGGUGUAAUAUCACCGAUUACACUGCUUACGAUCAGUUUGUCUUCUCUGUUGAUGUGGACAUCCUCAAGGCAAAAGAUCCUUCAGGAACAGAGGAAUCUAGUCCUGCCUCCAAAAUGUUAGAAGAGAAUAGUUUAGAAAGAGAGAAAGCUAGUCCCGCCUCCAAAAGGGAAGAGGGGAAUAGUUUUGUAAAAGAAUAGUUUAGAGGGGAAUAGUUUAGAGAGAAUGCUAGUUCUGCCUACACAUGGGAAGAGAUGAAUCAUUUAGACAGAGAGGACACUAGUCCCACCAACGAAUGGGAAGAGCAGAAUAGUUUAGGAAGAGAGGACCCUAGUCCCACCUACAAAAGAAAAGACAGCAAUAGUUUAGGAAUAGAGGCCACUAGUUUUGCCUACAAAGGGGAAGAGGGGAAUCGUUUCAGGAGAAAGGCUGUUAGUUCCCCCUACAUAAAAAAAAGAGAGGACAAAGUACCUGGAUGUACAGAAGCGAGGACCAAACCGAAGACAGGGAAGAAAGAUAACUAAAUGAUCCUUAAGGCUUUUAUAUGGCCAGACUAUGAAAGUUUAGAUGUGAUUCAAAGUAUUUUAUGUAGCUUCAGGCAAAGCCUCCUACAUCCAAAAAGGCACAAUCACUGAAUGCAUGGUUUCAAUGUUUUUACAAUAAAACAGAACGACACC